RNAcentral lists this ribosomal RNA (253 nucleotides) under uncultured bacterium. RNAcentral's name for it is "partial 16S ribosomal RNA". It matches the Rfam family "Bacterial small subunit ribosomal RNA", at positions 524 to 776 of the family's 1533-position model. The record is from RNAcentral.
UACGUAGGGAGCCAGCGUUGUCCGGAUUUACUGGGCGUAAAGAGCGCGUAGGCGGUUUGAUAAGCGGAGGGUGAAAUCCCGGGGCUCAACUCCGGGGCUGCUCUCCGAACUGUCAGACUAGAGUACGGGAGAGGACAGUGGAAUUCCUGGUGUAGCGGUGGAAUGCGUAAAUAUCAGGAGGAACACCCGUGGCGAAGGCUGCUGUCUGGAACGUUACUGACGCUGAGGCGCGAAAGCUAGGGGAGCGAACGGG